Non-coding RNA from Lonchura striata (white-rumped munia), 416 nucleotides. The record is from RefSeq and is a predicted model, not a curated record. NCBI's taxonomy places the organism in Eukaryota, Metazoa, Chordata, Aves, Passeriformes, Estrildidae.
GGCACAGCCUUUCAGGGCAGGAAUAUACUGCCUGCUGAGCUCGGCCUUGCAGGUGGGAGCACAAGCCUCUGCACCGCAACCAAUUCACACCUUCCAGAAACCCGGACCCGCCGGUCGCCAAGGAGCGGACAUGGAAACCGGAGUCCCACCGGAGUCUCUCCCAUGUAAAGUCAAUGAGUCCGAGGACAGCGCUUUUGGAUAGAAAAUACAGAUGUUACCUGAUAAAUGAAUAAAUGAAUGAACACCACACUACACUGACUUUCAGUCCAAGGGCUAUUCAUCCCAAAAUGAUGAGGAAGGAGAAGCUAAUGCAAGUUAACUAGUUAAAUACAGAAUAUAUACUAUGUUCUUAUGCAUUCUGCCUUAUCAUUGUAACUGCCAAUAUCGAAGAUUAAAUAAAUACAGAAAAGCAACUG